AACAAGGGACGAGUAAGAAAGAC
Molecule: non-coding RNA, 23 nt
Filed under: Cricetulus griseus (Chinese hamster)
Lineage: Eukaryota; Metazoa; Chordata; Mammalia; Rodentia; Cricetidae
Source: RNAcentral